Molecule: small RNA, 275 nt
Filed under: Drosophila ananassae
Lineage: Eukaryota; Metazoa; Arthropoda; Insecta; Diptera; Drosophilidae
Description: GF27494
Source: RNAcentral
CAUCUGAUCAAUUUGUUACACGGGUAUCUAUAUAGAUCCUUGAACUCCUUUUCUCUUUUCCUUUACUUCGGCGAUCGAAUAACGCAAUUAUAGAAACCCAUCGAAGAGUUCCUGAUUAUUAUUCUAACAAAUUAUGUUUAAUUUGAAGUUUUCCAUCAUGCUGCCCCAUAACUAUUCCUCCAAUCUCACUUGACCAGUAGGUCUGGAUCGGAUCACAACUACGCCUCUUUCUGAUUUUCUGAUUUUUUUUAAACCUUUUUCAAAUUAUUUUUCAU